CAGGCCCUGAAUGAAGACCAGUGGUUUGCUGUAGCCGUUGGUUUCAAGCAGGAGCCCAGAGGAAACGUCUCCCGGUCUGUUGGCGCUCCCGUCCCCGUGGAAUGGCCAAUUUGUGUGGGAGUCACACCA
Gavia stellata (red-throated loon) is the source of this 129-nucleotide small nucleolar RNA. NCBI's taxonomy places the organism in Eukaryota, Metazoa, Chordata, Aves, Gaviiformes, Gaviidae. The record is from RefSeq and is a predicted model, not a curated record.